Molecule: ribosomal RNA, 301 nt
Filed under: uncultured bacterium
Lineage: Bacteria
Description: partial 16S ribosomal RNA
Rfam family: Bacterial small subunit ribosomal RNA
Source: RNAcentral
CAGCAGCCGCGGUAAUACGUAGGGUGCGAGCGUUAAUCGGAAUUACUGGGCGUAAAGCGUGCGCAGGCGGUUGUGUAAGACAGGUGUGAAAUCCCCGGGCUUAACCUGGGAACUGCGCUUGUGACUGCACAGCUAGAGUAUGGCAGAGGGGGGUGGAAUUCCACGUGUAGCAGUGAAAUGCGUAGAGAUGUGGAGGAACACCGAUGGCGAAGGCAGCCCCCUGGGCCAAUACUGACGCUCAUGCACGAAAGCGUGGGGAGCAAACAGGAUUAGAUACCCGGGUAGUCCCUGUCUCUUAUAC